RNAcentral lists this long non-coding RNA (3094 nucleotides) under Gossypium barbadense (sea-island cotton). RNAcentral's name for it is "long non-coding RNA (GBAR_LNC000874)". Lineage: Eukaryota; Viridiplantae; Streptophyta; Magnoliopsida; Malvales; Malvaceae. The record is from RNAcentral.
UUUUUUUUUUUUUUUGCUUAGGAAAUCAAUUGUUUGCUUUUAUCGCCGGUAUUUGUCUCAUUUUACAAUCUCUUGGCUGUCUAAGUUGGUUUUGUUGUUGUGUUUGUCUUGAGACAGAGGUAUGAUCAGAGAUGCCCAAGAAGAUCUGCUGCACAUGGCACAAGUUAUUUUCCCAAACACGGUAUGAUUCAAAGAUUUACUUCUGAAGAAUCACCAUACUUCUUCGUUAAUACAGACAGUUACAGUUUUACUUCUGAAAUUUUUCAAAAUCUAAACUUACAAUUUCAGCUAUGUGGCUUCUUGGAGGAGCAGCAGUGUCCUGGCUUAUAGGACCUGCAUGGAAGUACGAUUUUGACUCAGUCAAAGAAAACUAGGUGCCGCUACAAGUUACUGGUUCUUCAAAGCACCCGCAGUCGAUACAUCAGGCGCAAUAAUUGGAUAAGUAAGUCAUCUUGAACUUAUUCGCAAAAUAAGAUUAAUGUUCAUAAGAACCUGUUCCAACUAAUGAUUGUCUGCCUUAAAAAUUUAGGUUUUCUUUGUUCUUCUUCUACUUUUUUUGUGCUUGUGAAAUCAAUUGUUUGCUUCUAUUGCCAGUCUUUGUUUCAUUUGACAUUCUCUUGGUUGUCUAGGUUGUUUCUGUUGCUGUGUUUGUAUUGAAACAUAGAGGUAUGAUCAGAGAUGCCAAAGAAGAUAUGCAGCACAUAGCACAAGUUUUUUCCCCAAUUACGGUAUGAUUCUAAGCUUUCGCUACUCUAUGUUUGAGAGCUUAAAACCAUAUAACGACUUAUCAAAAAACCAGUCUCAUACAUACCAAAUGCAGUCUCUAGAUUUUAGAUGCCUUCGUAAGUCUAGAUUUAUUCAAGUUUCUGCCAUGUUACUGCUUGAUACAAUGAUUUCCUUGAAGAAAAUCGUAGUAUCUAGUAAUCCUCCAGCCUACUUUCUUAGUGCAUCAAGUUCUUUUGCUCUUAUUUUCCCAAUCUCAGUGGUACUGAAUGUUGAUCAUGCAGGUUAUUAGGCUUAUGUCAAGAGGCGUCGGUAACUGUGGUUAUGUAAGUCUCAACUACAAUGCCUUCUUGUACGUGUACUUGUAGUAUACCUGUAUUUAAAGUAACGAUUGUGUAUCAUAAGAAUCUCCAUAUACUUCAUUAAUACAGACAUUUACAGUUUUACUUCCGAAAUUGUUUAACAUCUUAAUUUUCAAUUUCAGAUAGGAGGCUUGAUUUGAGGAGCAGCAGUUACUGGUCUGUAGGACCUGCAUGGAAGUAUGAAUCUAUAGCCAGCAAUGGCCAAAGAAUAUUCUCAGACUGAAAACCAGUUUUUACCUUACUGACAGAAAGCUAAAACCUUGAUGAAUCAGUCUAAGGGCCAGUUUUUAGCAUUGCUUCUAAGAAGCACUUUUGGACAAAAAGCUAAGAUUUUCUGCUUCUAUCAAAAGCAGUUUUGGGCCAAUUUUUGGGUUUUGAAAAGUACUUUUUCUCUCAAAAAGUUGUUUAGCAAUGCUUUUAUCUCAAAAAGUAUUUUUUAUCCCAAAAGUGCUUCUUAGAAGCAAUGCUAAACUGGCCCUAAGUAUUGACAAUUGUGACACCGGCUCUGAUUUAAAUUGGUUGUAGAUAUACUAUACGCAAAGUAUUACAAGGGGUUUGCAAGGUAGAAGUGAAUUCUAAUUGAAACAAUCGAAGGGAUGAUAGAGAUUUCCUUAGCUAUUUUCUGAUAAAUCACUGACCGUUUAGAGUUCACCACCAUUCUGAUAUCUGCAGUGUAGUGAAGUUUGAAGUGAAGAUAGCCAUUUUCUUAUAUUGAAGCUCAUUGAAUCUUUAUCGUUCAUUUAUUAUUAUUACACUCAAUCAUAUCCAUUAAAAAAAAGGAAAAUUAAUUAAUGCUAACAUUUAUAAAAAUUCCUUAUAUGGCAAUAGGCAUAUCCACCACCUACCACUUUAGAUUAUCAUUUAGAGUUAGUGAAAUAGAAGAUGCUGUUAUCUUUACUAUUACAAAAAAAUAUAACCGCGUUUGGUGCAUGAGUUAAUCGUACACAAUAAAAUUGUGGAAUUGUAUUAGAUUUUUGAGAAAAUGCCACUUGAGCUACAUUCAGAGAGGCUCCAGUGGUAUUAUACUUGCAAGUAGGUUGCUGUAGAAGGCCCAAAUUGCCCGGCCCAAUUUCAACCUAAACCAAACUAACCCUAGCCCAAACAAAAUCAAAAAAAAAAAACCUAGCCCUAUGUUCAGCCUUUGCACCUGCUGCCACCACCUAACCCCAUCCCAUCGUACCAUCACCUGCAAAACAACAACAGAGAACCAAAAAUAAACGCAAACAGUAGCAGACAAAACACAAAGAAACAAAGAAGAAAAAACCAAAAGGGGCAGAAAAGAAGCAAGAGAACAAGGAAAUAGAUAAUAGCAAAUCCAUGGUAUUUCGGCUAUAAAGCCUGAAAACUUGGAUUUUUUUGGGUACAAAAACAAGAAUAUUAUAAAAGGGGAAGAUAGAUUUUUUGGGGGGAGAAAAAUAGAAACAAGAAAAAGGGAUAAAAAAAAGUGUAAUCUCUCUGAGGAUUUUUCUUUAGAAAAAAAAGAGACAGAAUACAAACAUACUGAAUAGCAAAAAAGAAAUUAAAAAAGUCAUUGAAAUGUGAUUUCGCAUUUUUUUCUCCUUCAUUUUCGAUUUGCUUGUGAUUUUUUAUCAUAGAAAACGAAAAGCGUGUUUUGAAACAACACCGAUGAAAGCCUACACGUCUCGGAAACAUGGAGAUUCGGGCUAGGAUUGUUUUCUUUAUUAUUAUUUUUAUUUUCAUCAGAUUUUUCUUUGUUUUUUGGUAGAAUAGCAUAAGAUUUUAAGUUUUUCCUUUUAAAAAAAAAGAAGAAAAAAAGGAAGAAGGAGUGCGCUUACCCGAUCUCCGUGGGCGUAUCCUCCGUUGACAAGGUCCGAUUGCCAUUGGUGCACAGUCGGCCAUCAAAUAAAUGAUGGUUUAGGCAGUUGCAUGUUGAAUCAAACACUAGUGGGAGGGGUUAAAGCUUCUUUUUUUAAAAAUAAAAAUGAAAGGUUGCUGAGUUUUGAAAAGGAAAGGAAUGGGAAUUAAACUUUAGCAUCAGACUUGGAAAU